GCCCUGAGAUGAGUCAUCCCUGACCCCUUGAGGGUCCUAAAGGGCCGUUGGAGACCACAACGUUGAUAGGCGGGGUGUGUAAGUGCAGCGAUGCAUUGAGCUAACCCGUACUAAUUACCCGUGAGGCUUAACCAUACAACACCCAAGAAGUGUUCU
RNAcentral lists this ribosomal RNA (156 nucleotides) under Aeromonas veronii. RNAcentral's name for it is "partial 23S ribosomal RNA". The stretch from base 1 to 135 matches the Rfam family "Bacterial large subunit ribosomal RNA", at positions 2796 to 2925 of the family's 2925-position model. The record is from RNAcentral. Lineage: Bacteria; Pseudomonadati; Pseudomonadota; Gammaproteobacteria; Aeromonadales; Aeromonadaceae.